GUCACGUGUAACGGAGAAUUAGGGUUCGAUUCCGGAGAGGGAGCCUGAGAAACGGCUACCACAUCUACGGAAGGCAGCAGGAGCGAAAAUUGCCCAAUCCUGACACGGGGAGGCAGUGACAAGAAAUAACAACUCUAGGUUAUUCUUAGAAGUGUAAUGAGGAUAAUUUACAACCCUUACCGAAAGCAAUUGGAGGGCAAGUCUGGUGCCAGCAGCCGCGGUAAUUCCAGCUCCAAUAGCGUAUAUUAAAGUUGUUGCAGUUAAAAAGCUCGUAGUUGAAAUUCUGGCUGCUCGGUCCUCGAGCUCUGUAGCCGAGGAAUCGACAGUCAUCCGCUUGCAAAUAUAGUUCGCCUUUAACCGGGUGGCUAUAUGAGUAAGCAUUUUACCUUGAGAAAAACAGAGUGUUCCAGGCAGGUUUGUCCGGAAUGCAUUAGCAUGGAAUAAUAGAAUAUGACUGAAGUCUAUUUAUUGGUUUAAGGCUUUAGUAAUGAUUAAUAGGAACAGUCGGGGGCAUUGGUACUUGUCAGUCAGAGGUGAAAUUCUAGGAUUUGACAAAGACUAACAAAUGCGAAAGCAUUUGCCAAGGAUGUUUUCAUUAAUCAAGAACGAAAGUUAGGGGAUCAAAGACGAUCAGAUACCGUCCUAGUCUUAACUAUAAACUAUACCGACUCGGAUUCGGAUGAAUCAAAAAGUUCAUUCGGGACCGUAGGAGAAAUCAAAGUUUUUGGGUUCUGGGGGAAGUAUGGUCGCAAGGCCGAAACUUAAAGGAAUUGACGGUUUUGCACCACCAUGGAGUGGAGUCUGCGGCUUAAUUUGACCCAACACUGGGAAACUCAUCAGGGCAAGAAGAUUUUAGGAUUGACAGAUUGAGAGUUCUUUCUUGAUUGGUCUAGUGGUGGUGCAUGGCCGUUCUUAGUUGGUGGAGUGAUUUGUCUGGUUAAUUCCGUUAACGAACGAGACCUUAACCUGCUAACUAGUACACUGAUGACAAAUCAGUGUUACUUCUUAGAGGGACUAUGUGAUGUAAUCACAUGGAAGUUUGAGGCAAUAACAGGUCUGUGAUGCCCUUAGAUGUCCUGAGCUGCACGCGUACUACAAUGGUGCUUUCAACGAGCUUUUCCUGAUCCGAAAGGAUUUAGGUAAUCUUUUUAGUGAGCACCGUGCUUGGGAUAGAUCUUUGUAAUUAUGGAUCUUGAACUAGGAAUUCCUAGUAAGCACAGGUCAUCAGCCUGUGCUGAUUACGUCC
Molecule: ribosomal RNA, 1246 nt
Filed under: metagenome
Description: SSU rRNA
Rfam family: Eukaryotic small subunit ribosomal RNA
Source: RNAcentral